Molecule: ribosomal RNA, 301 nt
Filed under: uncultured bacterium
Lineage: Bacteria
Description: partial 16S ribosomal RNA
Rfam family: Bacterial small subunit ribosomal RNA
Source: RNAcentral
CAGUAGCCACGGUAAUGCGUAGGGGGCUAGCGUUAUCCGGAUUUACUGGGCGUAAAGGGUGCGUAGGUGGUCCUUCAAGUCGGUGGUUAAAGGCUACGGCUCAACCGUAGUAAGCCACCGAAACUGGAGGACUUGAGUGCAGGAGAGGAAAGUGGAAUUCCCAGUGUAGCGGUGAAAUGCGUAGAUAUUGGGAGGAACACCAGUAGCGAAGGCGGCUUUCUGGACUGCAACUGACACUGAGGCACGAAAGCGUGGGUAGCAAACAGGAUUAGAUACCCCCGUAGUCCCUGUCUCUUAUACA